This 497-nucleotide ribosomal RNA is filed under the name uncultured bacterium. RNAcentral's name for it is "partial 16S ribosomal RNA". It matches the Rfam family "Bacterial small subunit ribosomal RNA", at positions 28 to 507 of the family's 1533-position model. The record is from RNAcentral.
GACGAACGCUGGCGGCGUGCCUAAUACAUGCAAGUUGAGCGCUGAAGGUUGGUACUUGUACCAACUGGAUGAGCAGCGAACGGGUGAGUAACGCGUGGGGAAUCUGCCUUUGAGCGGGGGACAACAUUUGGAAACGAAUGCUAAUACCGCAUAAAAACUUUAAACACAAGUUUUAAGUUUGAAAGAUGCAAUUGCAUCACUCAAAGAUGAUCCCGCGUUGUAUUAGCUAGUUGGUGAGGUAAAGGCUCACCAAGGCGAUGAUACAUAGCCGACCUGAGAGGGUGAUCGGCCACAUUGGGACUGAGACACGGCCCAAACUCCUACGGGAGGCAGCAGUAGGGAAUCUUCGGCAAUGGACGAAAGUCUGGCCGAGCAACGCCGCGUGAGGGAAGAAGGUUUUCGGAUCGUAAAACUCUGUUGGUAGAGAAGAACGUUGGUGAGAGUGGAAAGCUCAUCAAGUGACGGUAACUACCCAGAAAGGGACGGCUAACUACGUG